AAGUCGUAACAAGGUUUCCGUAGGUGAACCUGCGGAAGGAUCAUUACCGAGUAUCGGGUCCUCGUGGCCCGCACUCCAACCCUCUGUGUACCAACUUUGUUGCUUUGGCGGGCCCGCGGUGUAAUGCCGCAGCCGGCUCACGCCGGUUAGCGCCCGCCAGAGAACCGUUAAACUCUUGUUUAAACAGUGUCGUCUGAGCAAAAUCAUAACAGUUAAAACUUUCAACAACGGAUCUCUUGGUUCUG
This 245-nucleotide unclassified non-coding RNA is filed under the name air metagenome. RNAcentral's name for it is "partial contains small subunit ribosomal RNA, internal transcribed spacer 1, and 5.8S ribosomal RNA". The stretch from base 1 to 46 matches the Rfam family "Eukaryotic small subunit ribosomal RNA", at positions 1786 to 1831 of the family's 1831-position model. The record is from RNAcentral.